Perca fluviatilis (European perch) is the source of this 1067-nucleotide long non-coding RNA. RefSeq lists it as uncharacterized. NCBI's taxonomy places the organism in Eukaryota, Metazoa, Chordata, Actinopteri, Perciformes, Percidae. The record is from RefSeq and is a predicted model, not a curated record. The transcript is spliced from 2 exons.
ACUAUGCUGCAUGGUCGUUGGAGUUCAUUCAGAGAAUCUGCAUGGGGAUUAAUCCUGAGAGAGGAUCAAAGGCAUACAGUGGACAGGCACCCAGCAGAAAAACUGGAAAGAUGGUCCAGAAGAAACCAUCAACAGUGAACCUGCAUGUCUGCACCCUAAUCAGGAAGCUCAACGACUUCAAGUGGGACUUUGUUUGAUCUUCUCUCAUAGCAUUGUAUUGUUUAGGUGCAGAUACCAUUUGUCAAUUAUCAAUGAACAAUAUAUGCCGAUAAAUACUGAUCGAUUUUGUGUUGUUUAGUUUAGUUAUUGCAGCUGAUAGAGCUGUAUUAUUGUAUUGGCCAGUUUCCCUGUUUGCAGUGUAUUGGGAUCGUGACUGGCUAUAUAAUGGUGUGUGACUCCAUGGAGCUCAACAGGGACUUCUCACUUUUUUUUUUACGGUGGUUCCAGAAGUGUUUCAUUGACAUUUCAAAAAUUGCUCAUAUAUAGGUUUAACCCUGGAACUGAGCCAACCAGCUACAAGAUGAGUUACUAGUUUUGGUGAUUAUAAAACAUUUGAUUCAGCACUAAAAAACAUUUUGAAAACAAGUUACAAUACUGUUUAGAGAAACUAUCAUAGAUGUUCAAUGGUAGAGGCUCGCUCUAGCCGUUCACGGUUUUGUGGAUACGGUAAACGUGUCUAUGGUAACGAGUUGGGCCAAUCAGAGACAUUACUGUUACACUUAGGAUUGUGGGUAGUGUAAUUUCUCUCCAUAAGAUCACACAUAAAACAUGUUUUUCUUAAUGCAAGUUUGAUUUCAUACGGACCUCUUGCUUUUACAACCUUGUAGCUCGGGGUCAGUCUGCCUCGGAUGAUUUAGAUUGCUAAUGAUAGACACAUUUUCUAUUGUAUGCAGACGAGUGCGUAUGUUGGAUGUCACGAACACGCCGCAAAACGGGUGUUAACUUUUUCUGCUACGGCAUUGAUACAGUUCACAAAACUGCAAACUGCUGUACCUUUCUUUAAAAGUGCUGUAUACUCACAUGAUAUUUACUAUACAGUAUAAAUAAAGAGUUAAUUAGAUUUUGAA